ACCUUGAUGAUGCUGCUCCGGCGGGGCAGGCCGCCCGGCUUGUUGAGAGGGUAGGCAGCUGGGCUGGGGCUCGCAGCGAGCACCCCACCGUGAGGUCCCGUGGCGGGGCUGACCCGAGAUGUGAUGUUUGCUUCCAGCUCUCCCCGCGCGCGGUGAAAGUCGUGACGGCAGAAUGGAAAGAUUCCUGCAGGGGAGAGAAGAGAGACCCAAGUCAGCUCUGGUGGCGGCGGAGCCGGGGCUCUGGGCACCUGGGGAAGGAAAACACGCCCAGACACACAUGCAGCCGCGGGCGCCAAAAAUAACCCGCGCGCGCCGGGUGCCCACCCCGGGUUCCAGGCACCCACCCCAAGGAGUCACUGUAUACUCCCAUGCCUACAGGAGCCAGGCACAUAAUGCAGCGAGCAAAGCUGGGAGGAUUUGUUUCAUAAGAGAUGCAUAAUUUAUACUUUUUCAACAGUGAUGUAUUUCCAUAUCAAAUACAGAGGGACACUCUUCCUGAGUCAUCUUCGGUUUUCCAAUCCUGAAAAGAGCCUUUGAUGAUACAAGAAAUAAAGAAAUAUUUCACUUUCCUCUCAACUCUAAGAAAGACAAUGUGAACAUAAUGAUAAAUAGCAGCUGACACUCAGCCAGGUGUGGCACAGCAAUACGGAGUGGUGGGGAUUCAGAUAACCCGGUGAGGAAUCUUACUGCUGCCAGGAUUGUCUUAUUCUUCCAGAGAAGUAAGCAGUCUGGAAUUUAAAACUUGUUAAUAUGUUAGUUCAUUCCCUUAAUAGAAGAUCACUCACUAA
Molecule: long non-coding RNA, 788 nt
Organism: Phyllostomus hastatus (greater spear-nosed bat)
Lineage: Eukaryota; Metazoa; Chordata; Mammalia; Chiroptera; Phyllostomidae
Exons: 3
Source: RefSeq, a predicted model, not a curated record